Molecule: unclassified non-coding RNA, 383 nt
Filed under: soil metagenome
Description: partial contains 5.8S ribosomal RNA, internal transcribed spacer 2, and large subunit ribosomal RNA
Rfam family: 5.8S ribosomal RNA (bases 1-120)
Source: RNAcentral
GAUGAAGAACGUAGUGAAAUGCGAUAAGUAAUGUGAAUUGCAGAAUUCAGUGAAUCAUCGAAUCUUUGAACGCACCUUGCGCUCCUUGGUAUUCCGAGGAGCAUGCCUGUUUGAGUGUCAUGAAAUUCUCAACCUUUCUGGCUUUUGCUAGUCAGGCUUGGAUUAUGGGAGCUGCUGGCUUUUGAAGUCGGCUCUUCUAAAAUGUAUUAGCAAGAUCAUUGCUGCUCACCAUUGGUAUGAUAAUUAUCUAUAUCAUUGAGAGUCAGUUUCCUUUAUUGGAAGAUUUUGCUCCUAACGGUCUUUAGCAAGACAACAUUUGACGAUUUUGACCUCAUAUCAGGUAGGACUACCCGCUGAACUUAAGCAUAUCAAUAAGCGGAGGA